RNAcentral lists this ribosomal RNA (2110 nucleotides) under Escherichia coli. Its description in RNAcentral is "partial 23S ribosomal RNA". It matches the Rfam family "Bacterial large subunit ribosomal RNA", at positions 1 to 2136 of the family's 2925-position model. The record is from RNAcentral. Lineage: Bacteria; Pseudomonadati; Pseudomonadota; Gammaproteobacteria; Enterobacterales; Enterobacteriaceae.
GGUUAAGCGACUAAGCGUACACGGUGGAUGCCCUGGCAGUCAGAGGCGAUGAAGGACGUGCUAAUCUGCGAUAAGCGUCGGUAAGGUGAUAUGAACCGUUAUAACCGGCGAUUUCCGAAUGGGGAAACCCAGUGUGUUUCGACACACUAUCAUUAACUGAAUCCAUAGGUUAAUGAGGCGAACCGGGGGAACUGAAACAUCUAAGUACCCCGAGGAAAAGAAAUCAACCGAGAUUCCCCCAGUAGCGGCGAGCGAACGGGGAGCAGCCCAGAGCCUGAAUCAGUGUGUGUGUUAGUGGAAGCGUCUGGAAAGGCGCGCGAUACAGGGUGACAGCCCCGUACACAAAAAUGCACAUACUGUGAGCUCGAUGAGUAGGGCGGGACACGUGGUAUCCUGUCUGAAUAUGGGGGGACCAUCCUCCAAGGCUAAAUACUCCUGACUGACCGAUAGUGAACCAGUACCGUGAGGGAAAGGCGAAAAGAACCCCGGCGAGGGGAGUGAAAAAGAACCUGAAACCGUGUACGUACAAGCAGUGGGAGCACGCUUAGGCGUGUGACUGCGUACCUUUUGUAUAAUGGGUCAGCGACUUAUAUUCUGUAGCAAGGUUAACCGAAUAGGGGAGCCGAAGGGAAACCGAGUCUUAACUGGGCGUUAAGUUGCAGGGUAUAGACCCGAAACCCGGUGAUCUAGCCAUGGGCAGGUUGAAGGUUGGGUAACACUAACUGGAGGACCGAACCGACUAAUGUUGAAAAAUUAGCGGAUGACUUGUGGCUGGGGGUGAAAGGCCAAUCAAACCGGGAGAUAGCUGGUUCUCCCCGAAAGCUAUUUAGGUAGCGCCUCGUGAAUUCAUCUCCGGGGGUAGAGCACUGUUUCGGCAAGGGGGUCAUCCCGACUUACCAACCCGAUGCAAACUGCGAAUACCGGAGAAUGUUAUCACGGGAGACACACGGCGGGUGCUAACGUCCGUCGUGAAGAGGGAAACAACCCAGACCGCCAGCUAAGGUCCCAAAGUCAUGGUUAAGUGGGAAACGAUGUGGGAAGGCCCAGACAGCCAGGAUGUUGGCUUAGAAGCAGCCAUCAUUUAAAGAAAGCGUAAUAGCUCACUGGUCGAGUCGGCCUGCGCGGAAGAUGUAACGGGGCUAAACCAUGCACCGAAGCUGCGGCAGCGACGCUUAUGCGUUGUUGGGUAGGGGAGCGUUCUGUAAGCCUGUGAAGGUGUGCUGUGAGGCAUGCUGGAGGUAUCAGAAGUGCGAAUGCUGACAUAAGUAACGAUAAAGCGGGUGAAAAGCCCGCUCGCCGGAAGACCAAGGGUUCCUGUCCAACGUUAAUCGGGGCAGGGUGAGUCGACCCCUAAGGCGAGGCCGAAAGGCGUAGUCGAUGGGAAACAGGUUAAUAUUCCUGUACUUGGUGUUACUGCGAAGGGGGGACGGAGAAGGCUAUGUUGGCCGGGCGACGGUUGUCCCGGUUUAAGCGUGUAGGCUGGUUUUCCAGGCAAAUCCGGAAAAUCAAGGCUGAGGCGUGAUGACGAGGCACUACGGUGCUGAAGCAACAAAUGCCCUGCUUCCAGGAAAAGCCUCUAAGCAUCAGGUAACAUCAAAUCGUACCCCAAACCGACACAGGUGGUCAGGUAGAGAAUACCAAGGCGCUUGAGAGAACUCGGGUGAAGGAACUAGGCAAAAUGGUGCCGUAACUUCGGGAGAAGGCACGCUGAUAUGUAGGUGAAGUCCCUCGCGGAUGGAGCUGAAAUCAGUCGAAGAUACCAGCUGGCUGCAACUGUUUAUUAAAAACACAGCACUGUGCAAACACGAAAGUGGACGUAUACGGUGUGACGCCUGCCCGGUGCCGGAAGGUUAAUUGAUGGGGUCAGCGCAAGCGAAGCUCUUGAUCGAAGCCCCGGUAAACGGCGGCCGUAACUAUAACGGUCCUAAGGUAGCGAAAUUCCUUGUCGGGUAAGUUCCGACCUGCACGAAUGGCGUAAUGAUGGCCAGGCUGUCUCCACCCGAGACUCAGUGAAAUUGAACUCGCUGUGAAGAUGCAGUGUACCCGCGGCAAGACGGAAAGACCCCGUGAACCUUUACUAUAGCUUGACACUGAACAUUGAGCCUUGAUG